This 254-nucleotide ribosomal RNA is filed under the name uncultured bacterium. RNAcentral describes it as "partial 16S ribosomal RNA". It matches the Rfam family "Bacterial small subunit ribosomal RNA", at positions 524 to 776 of the family's 1533-position model. The record is from RNAcentral.
UACGUAGGGUGCGAGCGUUGUCCGGAAUUAUUGGGCGUAAAGAGCUCGUAGGCGGUGUGUCGCGUCGGUCGUGAAAACUUGGGGCUUAACCCUGAGCUUGCGGUCGAUACGGGCAUCACUGGAGUUCGGCAGGGGAGACUGGAAUUCCUGGUGUAGCGGUGAAAUGCGCAGAUAUCAGGAGGAACACCGGUGGCGAAGGCGGGACUCUGGGCCGAUACUGACGCUGAGGAGCGAAAGCGUGGGGAGCAAACAGG